GACGAACGCUGGCGGCGUGCUUAACACAUGCCAGUCGAACGGAAAGGCCCUGCUUUUGUGGGGUGCUCGAGUGGCGAACGGGUGAGUAACACGUGAGUAACCUGCCCUUGACUUUGGGAUAACUUCAGGAAACUGGGGCUAAUACCGGAUAGGAGCUCCUGCUGCAUGGUGGGGGUUGGAAAGUUUCGGCGGGUGGGGAUGGACUCGCGGCUUAUCAGCUUGUUGGUGGGGUAGUGGCUUACCAAGGCUUUGACGGGUAGCCGGCCUGAGAGGGUGACCGGCCACAUGGGGACUGAUAAACGGCCCAGACUCCUACGGGAGGCAGCAGUGGGGAAUAUUGCACAAUGGGCGGAAGCCUGAUGCGGCAACGCCGCGUGCGGGAUGACGGCCUUCGGGUUGUAAACCGCUUUCGCCUGUGACUAAGCGUGAGUGACGGUAAUGGGUAAAGAAGCACCGGCUAACUACGUG
This 468-nucleotide ribosomal RNA is filed under the name uncultured bacterium. RNAcentral's name for it is "partial 16S ribosomal RNA". It matches the Rfam family "Bacterial small subunit ribosomal RNA", at positions 28 to 507 of the family's 1533-position model. The record is from RNAcentral.